This is a long non-coding RNA of Heterocephalus glaber (naked mole-rat), 2604 nucleotides long. Lineage: Eukaryota; Metazoa; Chordata; Mammalia; Rodentia; Bathyergidae. The record is from Ensembl.
AGCGGACACAGUGUGGUCAUCGACUGCGCCUGGUGUUCUGAGCAGUCACUUUUACUUCUGUCCUCCUUGGGGUCCUCAGAGCCGUCGCUGGCCCUGCAGCCCAGCAGCUCAGUUCCUCUAGGAGCCCUCGGGCGGCCAUGUCCCUGGGCCUCAGGAGGAGGCAGCGCCUCAGGGGUCACCCCUCGCACCCUGGCUCCCCCAGCCUUCUUCCUGGCUCCCUGCUCUGGCGCAGCAGCGCCUGCCUCAACUUGCAGGUACAGAAAGCCCUCAAAAGGCAAAACACCGGAAUUCUCAUACACCCAGUAAUUCUGCUCUGAGGAGUGUGCCCCAAAGUGCCCAGGAGGUCUGGGCACAUGCCUGUCAUCCCAGCACUCGGGAGGCUGAGGCAGGAGGAUCGCUGAGUUCGAGGGCAGUCUCACAUAGGGAGACGCUGUCUCAAAAAAUGAAAAGCAAAGCAUUGAAAACAGGGGACAGUUGCACAUGUUGGGGACUGCACCACGACUCCUACCCUGACGGGCUGACUGCCACCCCACCCUGCUGCUCAUUCACGAUUGCUCUUCGGUCACAGCGGAAUGUAGCCCAGUGCAGGAGGUGCCUCACCUGGCAGGCAGUUCCCAUGGUUCUGACCAGGCUGUGCUGAGCUCAAUUAAUCGUCAAGCCUCCCAGGUGCCGGGAUCACUGUGCCUGGCCAAUAGUGGACUCCUGUGCCGACUCCAGUUUGCUGGAUGUCCAUGUGGCGUUAUUCACAGUGGCCAUGGCCGGAAGCCACCCACAGGGCCACAGCAGAACACGGACCAGGACAGACAGGAUCCAAGUGAGGUCCAGCUACCAGCACCCCUGUCCGCAGGUGACAACCGCAGGGAGGCCAGCCUGGGGGACCCCGCUUGGCCCUGGUGCCCCUCCUUUCCCCAGAGCCCUGGCAUUCCUCAGACACGGUCUCCUUGUUUAGCCCAAGCUGGCCUCAAACUUGUGGCAAUCCUGCCUCUGCCUCCCAGGUGCCGGGAUUAUAGAUGUGCACCACAGCUCCCUGCUGGCUUUCAGUUUUAAAUUGAUUUUGCCUUUGAGAUGAUCCAGGAGAUUUGUACAGCUCUGAGACACUUCCUGUGACAGCCAGCAACCAGCUGCCCACCCUGCGCCUGACACUAGAGAGCUCGGGGCGUGCUGUCAGCAGGAGUGGGGACUCGGACAGAGAGGGGCAGGCGCAGCUUCGUCCCCUCUGCUGCAGUGUCCUGUGGUGAUGAGAAGUCACGCGGACCUUGCAGAAGGGUGAGCUCUCAGCAUUGCGCGGGCGCCACCGCAGGGCCCAGCUGGUGUUGGCCUGGCCCUGGGGCGUGCAUCCAUCUCCUGCUGCGAACCUGCCUCCGCCUGCCAUCUGUCCUCAUCUGCCUGUCGCCUACUAGCGGUGUAUCACCUCUUCAUUCAGGAUCUGCCUACUGCUAUCAGUCACCUAUCACUUACCUACUAUCCGUCCCCAUCUAUACACAGCCUUAUCUCCUCCUAGCCCCUAUCUGCCAUCUAUCUGCCUCUCACCUGUCUAUCAGCUGUCAUCUGUCUCCCACCUACCACCUGGUACAGUGGACCUUCCAGUUACCACCGGCCUGACAUACGAACAACUUGGGUUACAACGGGAAUGCACCAGGAAAUGAUUGGUGCUUCUGGUAAAUUACGCGAUUAUACAGCCCUUUUUUAUUAUGAAAAGGUUGGGUAAGGGGUGCUUUGAGAGGGCUUGGAAUGCUUUAUGGAUAUUUCCAUUAUUUCUUAUGGGAAAAAUAGUCUUGACUUGCAACCAACUUGAGUUACACCCAGCCCUGGAGAAAGAAUUGAGUGUGUGAGUCAAGGGUCCAUGGUAUCUACCUACCGCCUGUCUCCACCUGCUGUUACUUGUUUACUGUCUCCCCACUGCCCCACCUCUCCCUGCCCACCCUCAUCUCUGCCCUCGUCUGGGGGCGGGGGCUCCGAGGUGGGGUGUGGAGGAGCACGGGGAGGGGGACCCCAGAUAGAGCCACAGCUUCUUUGACGGUGCCUCAUUCCACCAUUCUGGCUUCGGAACCGCACUAGCACUUUACAGACCUUUAAAAAGCAACUUUUUGUUUGUUCAUUUGUUUGUUUUUUGGUACUGGGGAUCGAACUCGGGACCUUGUGAUUGCGAGGCAGGCACCAGAACCACUGAGCUAAAUCCCUGGCCCUAAGAAGCAACUUUUAAAUGACCAAACAAAGGGAGACCAGUGGGUAAAUAUUUGGGAGCCCGAAAACCAAAUGGGAACAGUUUCAAUUGACUUUUGUUGUUUUUAGUGCUGGGGAUAGAACCCAGGGCCUCGUGCAUGCCAGGCAAGGGCUCCACCACUGAGCUACAUCCUCAGCCCUUUUUAAAUUUUUUAAAUUAAUUAAUUUAAAUUAAAAAAUUUAAAAGGGUCUCGCUAAGUUUCCUAGGCUGGCCAUGAACUUACCACCCUCCUGCCUCGGCCUCCUGAGAAGCCAGGAUUACAGGUGUGCACCAUUGCCCUGGUUCCAAUGGACUUUUACAUGUUUGAGUUUUAAAGUUACCCUCAGUGGGGAGUGCAGGGCAAGAAGAACUAGAAAGAAAGAUGAAAGGAAGGAAGGGAG